RNAcentral lists this transfer RNA (60 nucleotides) under Stenostomum leucops. RNAcentral describes it as "tRNA-Cys". The record is from RNAcentral. Lineage: Eukaryota; Metazoa; Platyhelminthes; Stenostomidae.
GAUCAGAUAAUAUAUUUAAUAUAUUGGAUUGCAGAUCCGAAAAUGGCCUCCCUCUGGUCU